RNAcentral lists this long non-coding RNA (322 nucleotides) under Elaeis guineensis (African oil palm). RNAcentral's name for it is "long non-coding RNA (EGUI_LNC031120)". Lineage: Eukaryota; Viridiplantae; Streptophyta; Magnoliopsida; Arecales; Arecaceae. The record is from RNAcentral.
UUUCGCAUCCUGGGGGAGGACCCCAUCUCUGAGAUAGGUUAUCAGUGGGUCGAUCCAGCUGGGCUCGUGGUCGAUUUCCAUCACGGGCCGCGACUCUUCUGUACUCGGGCAUUUUAGAACUUCAAAAAGAACGUCUUUGGGCAAUUCGGCCGGAGCCAACGUUGCCAGCCUGGAGAGAAGGUCAGCCCUGGUAUUUUUCAGCCUCGAAAUUUGUCUGAUGUUGAAGCUGCCGAAGGCGGGGACGAGCUCCUUUAUCCUUUCAAGGUAUUUAGCCAUGCUGUCCUCCCGCGCUUCAUAAUUUUCAUUGACUUGUCCCACCACU